CGGGGAGGCAGCAGUGGGGAAUAUUGCACAAUCGGGGGAAACCCUGAUGCAGCCAUGCCGCGUGUGUGAAGAAGGCCUUCGGGUUGUAAAGCACUUUCAGUAGGGAGGAAGGUAGUGUAGUUAACACCUGCAUUAUUUGACGUUACCUACAGAAGAAGCACCGGCUAACUCCGUGCCAGCAGCCGCGGUAAUACGGAGGGUGCGAGCGUUAAUCGGAAUUACUGGGCGUAAAGCGCAUGCAGGCGGCUUGUUAAGUCAGAUGUGAAAGCCCGGGGCUUAACCUCGGAAUUGCAUUUGAAACUGGCAGGCUAGAGUCUUGUAGAGGGGGGUAGGAAUUUCAGGUGUAGCGGUGAAAUGCGUAGAGAUCUGAAGGAAUACCAGUGGCGAAGGCGCCCCCCUGGACAAAGACUGACGCUCAGAUGCGAAAGCGUGGGGAGCAAACAGGAUUAGAUACCCUGGUAG
Molecule: ribosomal RNA, 462 nt
Filed under: uncultured bacterium
Lineage: Bacteria
Description: bacterial SSU rRNA
Rfam family: Bacterial small subunit ribosomal RNA
Source: RNAcentral